GGCGGCAUGGCCAAGCGGUAAGGCAGGGGACUGCAAAUCCUUUAUCC
This 47-nucleotide transfer RNA is filed under the name Aegilops bicornis. RNAcentral describes it as "partial tRNA-Cys". It matches the Rfam family "tRNA", at positions 1 to 46 of the family's 71-position model. From Rfam's summary of the family: Transfer RNA (tRNA) molecules are approximately 80 nucleotides in length. Their secondary structure includes four short double-helical elements and three loops (D, anti-codon, and T loops). Lineage: Eukaryota; Viridiplantae; Streptophyta; Magnoliopsida; Poales; Poaceae. The record is from RNAcentral.